This 420-nucleotide ribosomal RNA is filed under the name uncultured bacterium. Its description in RNAcentral is "partial 16S ribosomal RNA". It matches the Rfam family "Bacterial small subunit ribosomal RNA", at positions 362 to 774 of the family's 1533-position model. The record is from RNAcentral.
UAUUGGACAAUGGGGGCAACCCUGAUCCAGCCAUGCCGCGUGUGUGAAGAAGGUCUUCGGAUUGUAAAGCACUUUUAGUUGGGAGGAAGGGCUGUAGGUUAAUACCCUGAAGUUUUGACGUUACCAAUAGAAUAAGCAUCGGCUAACUCUGUGCCAGCACCCGCGGUAAUGCAGAGGGUGCAAGCGUUAAGCGGAAUUAAUGGGCGUAAGCCGAGGGAAGGUGGUUCAGUAAGAUGGGUGUGAAAGCCCCGGGCUUAACCAGGGAACUGCUUUCAUAACUGCUGAGCUAGAGUACGGUAGAGGGUAGUGGAAUUUCCUGUGUAGCGGUGAAAUGCGUAGAUAUAGGAAGGAACACCAGUGGCUAAGGCGACUACCUGGACUGAUACUGACACUGAGGUGCGAAAGCGUGGGGAGCAAACA